UGAGGAAUAUUGGUCAAUGGGCGCAAGCCUGAACCAGCCAAGUAGCGUGAGGGAAGACUGCCCUACGGGUUGUAAACCUCUUUUGUUUGGGAAUAAAGUGCGGGACGUGUCCCGCAUUGCAUGUACCAUUUGAAUAAGGACCGGCUAAUUCCGUGCCAGCAGCCGCGGUAAUACGGAAGGUCCGGGCGUUAUCCGGAUUUAUUGGGUUUAAAGGGAGCGCAGGCCGUGGGUUAAGCGUGUCGUGAAAUUCCGUCGCUCAGCGGCGGACGUGCGGCGCGAAAGCGUGGGUAGCAAACAGGAUUAGAUACCCUGGUAGU
Molecule: ribosomal RNA, 317 nt
Filed under: uncultured Prevotella sp.
Lineage: Bacteria; Pseudomonadati; Bacteroidota; Bacteroidia; Bacteroidales; Prevotellaceae
Description: bacterial SSU rRNA
Rfam family: Bacterial small subunit ribosomal RNA
Source: RNAcentral